This 85-nucleotide ribosomal RNA is filed under the name Disa polygonoides. RNAcentral's name for it is "partial 25S ribosomal RNA". It matches the Rfam family "Eukaryotic large subunit ribosomal RNA", at positions 1 to 82 of the family's 3401-position model. The record is from RNAcentral. RNAcentral also lists the same sequence under 2 other names. Lineage: Eukaryota; Viridiplantae; Streptophyta; Magnoliopsida; Asparagales; Orchidaceae.
GUGUGACCCCAGGAUGGGCGGGGUGACCCGCUGAGUUUAAGCAUAUCAAUAAGCGGAGGAGAAGAAACUUACGAGGAUUCCCCUA